CCCAAAUUUAUGAAGCCAAAAACAGAGAGAUUGUAAAUAAAAUACUGGUUCCAGCCCACAUCUGAAAGCUGGUGGGAAAAAUCAAGUUAUAAGAGAAAACGAGAAAAAGAAAUCACACUGUGCACACAGGAAGAACACCAUGUGAACACGAAAGCAGAGAUCAGGACGAUACAUCUACAAGCCACAAACACCAGGACUGCCGAAAGCUAGGACAGAGCCAUGGAACAGAUUCUCCCUCACAGCCCUCGGAGUGAACUAACCCUGUGGGUAUCUUGAUCUUGGACUUCCAGCCCUCCAGAACAAUGAGACAACAAAUUUGUUUUCA
Molecule: long non-coding RNA, 325 nt
Filed under: Pan troglodytes (chimpanzee)
Lineage: Eukaryota; Metazoa; Chordata; Mammalia; Primates; Hominidae
Description: long non-coding RNA NONPTRT001894
Source: RNAcentral